This 497-nucleotide ribosomal RNA is filed under the name uncultured bacterium. Its description in RNAcentral is "partial 16S ribosomal RNA". It matches the Rfam family "Bacterial small subunit ribosomal RNA", at positions 28 to 507 of the family's 1533-position model. The record is from RNAcentral.
GAUGAACGCUGGCGGCGUGCCUAAUACAUGCAAGUCGAGCGAACGGACGAGAAGCUUGCUUCUCUGAUGUUAGCGGCGGACGGGUGAGUAACACGUGGAUAACCUACCUAUAAGACUGGGAUAACUUCGGGAAACCGGAGCUAAUACCGGAUGAUAUUUUGAACCGCACGGUUCAAAAGUGAAAGACGGUCUUGCUGUCACUUAUAGAUGGAUCCGCGCUGCAUUAGCUAGUUGGUAAGGUAAUGGCUUACCAAGGCAACGAUGCAUAGCCGACCUGAGAGGGUGAUCGGCCACACUGGAACUGAGACACGGUCCAGACUCCUACGGGAGGCAGCAGUAGGGAAUCUUCCGCAAUGGGCGAAAGCCUGACGGAGCAACGCCGCGUGAGUGAUGAAGGUCUUCGGAUCGUAAAACUCUGUUAUUAGGGAAGAACAUAUGUGUAAGUAACUGUGCACAUCUUGACGGUACCUAAUCAGAAAGCCACGGCUAACUACGUG